RNAcentral lists this ribosomal RNA (301 nucleotides) under uncultured bacterium. RNAcentral describes it as "partial 16S ribosomal RNA". It matches the Rfam family "Bacterial small subunit ribosomal RNA", at positions 509 to 807 of the family's 1533-position model. The record is from RNAcentral.
CAGCCGCCGCGGUAAAACGUAGGUGGCAAGCGUUAUCCGGAAUUAUUGGGCGUAAAGCGCGCGUAGGCGGUUUUUUAAGUCUGAUGUGAAAGCCCACGGCUCAACCGUGGAGGGUCAUUGGAAACUGGAAAACUUGAGUGCAGAAGAGGAAAGUGGAAUUCCAUGUGUAGCGGUGAAAUGCGCAGAGAUAUGGAGGAACACCAGUGGCGAAGGCGACUUUCUGGUCUGUAACUGACGCUGAGGAGCGAAAGCGUGGGGAGCGAACAGGAUUAGAUACCCCGGUAGUCCCUGUCUCUUAUAC